CAUUCAUCACAGUUUAUUGUUUCUCUGUUCAAAGUCGAAUUUAUCAAAGUUUUUGAGCGAGUAUUUUACUGGAAAGUGUGUCGGAGUCGACUGGAAGUGAUUGCCAAUCGAGAAAAACCUGACAAUGGAGGCGACAGUGAAGAAAAAAGGGAGGAAAAACACACGGGAAGCGAUGCAUUGCCGCUGGCCGUAUUAAUGUCAAGUCUGCCGAAGUGGCGAUGUUUCUGUUCCCAAAAGAUGAAGCAGGGCAAAAGAACACACACGUGAACAAGAGGGGCCCAACCUAGAUAUUGCUAAGUAAACACAAAGUGUCCAGACGUCCUCUGUGAAAUGCUUCAGUUGUGCUUCAUCCACAAUGAGGAAGCUUCCACGUACCUUGGCUCUGUCAGACCAACCGAAGGACUGCACGGUCACAUCGAGACGUUUCAACAACAUUUUCCUUCUCAUUUCAUACUCAUUCACAAGUGCUUGGUUGAUGGCUUCAAUUUUUUCCUGGAAAAGAGAGAAUUGUAAUGUAUUGUUAUAUGUUUCCUUAAAAAACGUUCUGUUUCUUGAUAGUGUUUCGUUAUUCACCACGUGCACAGGUCCAAGGGCUUCUUCAUCAGAGGCUCUCCUACGUGAUGUGGUGGGACUUUACUCAUGGCUUCUUUUCAGCUGGGAAGAUAUAUGGACAUUUCGAUGGUAGAUCAAACAGAAAAUACAACAUAUUAAACCACACUUAGGAUAGCAAUGUGUAAGGCUCAUUGACACAUUGUUGUACAUUUAUUCAAGUACUGUACACAAGUAUAAUUAUGAGGCAUUUUAUACGAGACCUGUGUAUUUUUCAAUGUUAUGCUACUUUAUAUAUUUCUUACUCCACUACAUUUAGAAAGUCAAAAUUGUAUUUUUUACUCCAUUACAUUUAUCUGACUGAUUUAGCUACUUUACAGAUUAAGAUGAUACCUUUGCAAAAAUAAUAACUACACUAAACAAUAAAUAUAAAAUAAUUCAGCAGCAGUAUUACAGUAAUUCAAAUGAGUGCAACCUUUACAGCUGUGAUAGACUAAAGGUGAAAACAAACAUACAGCUCUGGAAAUAAGGAAGAGACCCCUGCAGCAUUAUCGGUUCCUCUGGUUUCAUUAUUUAUAUGUGUUUAAGUCAAAUUAACAUCUUUUUAUUUGAUUCUAUAAGCUACUGAAAACAUGUCCUCUGUGUUGGAAUUCAACAGACACUGGAAUGGAAUGGCUGCCAUACAUGUAGAGAUUGAGAUUCAAGAACAAUUUGGAGCGGUCUCUUCAUUUUUUCAGGCGGCUGUAAUACAGUCAUUUAAUAAACAUAUAUGAUUCUGAAA
This is a long non-coding RNA of Gymnodraco acuticeps, 1330 nucleotides long. RefSeq lists it as uncharacterized. Lineage: Eukaryota; Metazoa; Chordata; Actinopteri; Perciformes; Bathydraconidae. The transcript has 2 exons. The record is from RefSeq and is a predicted model, not a curated record.